CUUUCUGGGGGAAGUGGCGAAAGGGGCAGUAAGGCGUGGGUAACCUACCCCGGGGACCGGGAUAGCCCCUCUAACGAGGGGGUAAUACCGGGCGAUCCAGUCCGUGGGCAUCCUUGGACUGGGAAAUGAAUUUCGCCUCGGGAGGGGCUCACGUGCUAUUACCUAGUUGGCGGGGUGACGGCCCACCAAGGGGAAGAUGGCUAGCGGGUGUGAGAGCACGACCCGCGCCACUGGCACUGCGACACCGGCCAGACUCCUACGGGAGGCUGCAGUCGAGGAUCUUCGGCAAUGGGCGCAAGCCUGACCGAGCGACGCCGCGUGCGCGAUGAAGGCCUUCGGGUUGUAAAGCGCUGUCGAGGGGGAGGAAGCCGCAAGGUUGACCUAUCCCUGGAGGAAGCACGGGCUAAGUUCGUGCCAGCAGCCGCGGUAAGACGAACCGUGCGAACGUUGUUCGGAAUCACUGGGCU
This 467-nucleotide ribosomal RNA is filed under the name uncultured bacterium. RNAcentral's name for it is "bacterial SSU rRNA". It matches the Rfam family "Bacterial small subunit ribosomal RNA", at positions 82 to 560 of the family's 1533-position model. The record is from RNAcentral.